CCAUGCAGUCGACGAAGUAGCAAUACUUAGUGGCAGACGGGUGAGUAACAUGUGGGUAUCUACCCUUUGGCCUGGAAUAACACGAGGAAACUUGUGCUAAUACCGGAUAAGUCUUUACGGAGAAAGCUUUAUGCACCAUUGGAUGAGCCCGCACUUGAUUAGUUUGUUGGUAGGGUAAUGGCCUACCAAGACUAUGAUCAAUAGCUGAUUUGAGAGGAUGAUCAGCCACAUUGGGACUGAGACACGGCCCAAACUCCUACGGGAGGCAGCAGUGGGGAAUCUUGCACAAUGGAGGAAACUCUGAUGCAGCGAUGCCGCGUGAGUGAAGAAGGCCUUUGGGUUGUAAAGCUCUUUCGUCGGGGAAGAAAAUGACUGUACCCGAAUAAGAAGGUCCGGCUAACUUCGUGCCAGCCGCGGGGG
This 420-nucleotide ribosomal RNA is filed under the name SAR11 cluster bacterium enrichment culture clone PSHTC-022. Its description in RNAcentral is "bacterial SSU rRNA". It matches the Rfam family "Bacterial small subunit ribosomal RNA", at positions 53 to 520 of the family's 1533-position model. Lineage: Bacteria; Pseudomonadati; Pseudomonadota; Alphaproteobacteria; Candidatus Pelagibacterales. The record is from RNAcentral.